Non-coding RNA from Gossypium hirsutum (cotton), 144 nucleotides. Lineage: Eukaryota; Viridiplantae; Streptophyta; Magnoliopsida; Malvales; Malvaceae. The record is from Rfam.
UGUUAAAAUUUCAUUCAUUUUUAUCGUUAAAAGUUAACAUAGUUGACAGAAUAACCAAAUAAUUAUAUUUAUUGUGUCAUUUAUACAUCAUGUUAAUGUAUAAAGACUAGUUUUUAAAAGUAAAAUUGAAUGAAAUUUAUAAUC